AGCAGUGAGGAAUAUUGGUCAAUAGCCUAACAGUGCCCUUACAGCACUUGGAGGAUGAACAGGGAAAACUGGUCAAAUGUGAUGUACCUGAUAAUAUUAGAAAUUAAUAUGAAAUUAAUUAACUUAAUUAAAAUUCUAAGUGAGUGUAAGAUUAUGACAAUAUUUGCUUAUUUCUUGACAAAGUCACGUGCCAGCGGUCGCGGUAAUACGUGGUAGAUUAGUGUUAUUCAUCUUUAGUAGGUUUAAAGGGUACCUAGACAGUUAAUUAAGCAUUAAGGUGUACUAAUUUAACUAGAGUUUAAUGUAAGAAGAUUGAGUACGGUGAGUGAAGAGAUAAAAUUCUGUCAUACCACUUAGAAACUGGUAAAGGCGAAGGCAACCUUUUAUGUAAAAACUGACGUUAAGGGACGAAGGCUCGUAUUAAGUAACAGGAUUAGAUACCCUAGUAUUGUGGGCAGACAAUGAUGAGUGUCAUAUGCAAGAGAAUUAAAAAAAAAUUUUUGUGUAUAAAUGAAAGUGUAAGCACUCCACCUCAAGAGUAACGUGGCAACAUGGGAACUGAAAUCAUUAGACCGUUUCUGAAACUCGUAGUGAAGUAUGUUGUUUAAUUUGUAGUUACGCAAAGAACCUUACCACAAUUUGUAUAACUAGUACUGCAUUAUAACUAUUAUAUAUUUUCAUUGUUCAUAUUUUAGUUAUUAAUUUAUUAGUCGCAAGCGUUGCACGGCUGUCUUCAGUUAAUGUUGUGAAACUUUGGUUAGAUCCAUUAAAUUGACGUAAGCCCUUACUCUAUUUGUUUUAGAGUAGUUCGCCGCUAUAUUGGUAGUGAUAUAAGGGACUAAGACAAGUCAUCAUGACCUAAACAUUGUGAGCUAUAGACGUGCCACA
RNAcentral lists this ribosomal RNA (888 nucleotides) under Platythecium grammitis. RNAcentral describes it as "SSU rRNA". It matches the Rfam family "Bacterial small subunit ribosomal RNA", at positions 350 to 1229 of the family's 1533-position model. Lineage: Eukaryota; Fungi; Ascomycota; Lecanoromycetes; Ostropales; Graphidaceae. The record is from RNAcentral.